AGUGCACACAAAACCCAAAGAUUGUUAACUUGCCAUGUAACAAUCUUGUCUGGUGUGCACAUAUUAUUAGCACCUUGUCGCCUUUCAAGAGCUGAUGUGCCUGUGAAAGUGAAAUCAAAGGUCCUACAUAC
Small nucleolar RNA from Xenopus tropicalis (tropical clawed frog), 131 nucleotides. The record is from Ensembl. NCBI's taxonomy places the organism in Eukaryota, Metazoa, Chordata, Amphibia, Anura, Pipidae.